Non-coding RNA from Salmo salar (Atlantic salmon), 54 nucleotides. The record is from Rfam. Lineage: Eukaryota; Metazoa; Chordata; Actinopteri; Salmoniformes; Salmonidae.
UGCAUUCACUACUGUAAGUCGCUCUGGAUAAGAGCGUCUGCUAAAUAAUUAAAA